Molecule: ribosomal RNA, 442 nt
Filed under: uncultured bacterium
Lineage: Bacteria
Description: partial 16S ribosomal RNA
Rfam family: Bacterial small subunit ribosomal RNA
Source: RNAcentral
CCUACGGGAGGCUGCAGUGGGGAAUAUUGCGCAAUGGGCGCAAGCCUGACCCAGCAACGCCGCGUGAAGGAAGAAGGCUUUCGGGUUGUAAACUUCUUUUGUCAGGGAAGAGUAGAAGACGGUACCUGACGAAUAAGCCACGGCUAACUACGUGCCCGCAGGCGCGGUAAUACGUCGGUGGCAAGCGUUUUCCGGAUUUACGGGGUGUAAAGGGCGUGUAGCCGGGUUGACAAGUCAGAUGUGAAAUCCUGCGGCGUAACCGCAGAACUGCAUUUGAAACUGUGGAUCUGGAGUACUGGAGAGGCAGACGGAAUUCCUAGUGUAGCGGUGAAAUGCGUAGAUAUUAGGAGGAACACCAGUGGCGAAGGCGGUCUGCUGGACAGCAACUGACGGUGAGGCGCGAAAGCGUGGGGAGCAAACAGGAUUAGAUACCCGAGUAGUC